RNAcentral lists this ribosomal RNA (253 nucleotides) under uncultured bacterium. Its description in RNAcentral is "partial 16S ribosomal RNA". It matches the Rfam family "Bacterial small subunit ribosomal RNA", at positions 524 to 776 of the family's 1533-position model. The record is from RNAcentral.
UACGGAAAUAGCAAGCGUUGUUCGGAAUUACUGGGCGUAAAGGGCGCGUAGGCGGUCUGGUCAGUCCGAUGUGAAAUCCCUCGGCUCAACCGAAGAAUAACAUCGGAAACAACCAGGCUUGAGUUCGGGAAAAAGAAGCGGAAUUCCCGGUGUAGCGGUGAAAUGCGUAGAUAUCGGAAGGAACACCGGUAACGAAGGCGGCUUCCUGGACCGCGACUGACGCUGAGGCGCAAAAGCUAGGGGAACAAACGGG